Molecule: transfer RNA, 81 nt
Filed under: Sphaerodactylus townsendi
Lineage: Eukaryota; Metazoa; Chordata; Lepidosauria; Squamata; Sphaerodactylidae
Description: tRNA-Ala
Source: RNAcentral
AGGGCUGUGGGUCAGUGGCUGAGCAUCUGCUUGGCAUGCGGAUAGUCCCAGGUUAAUUCCCUGGCAUUUUGCUCAGCCCCU